This 969-nucleotide long non-coding RNA is filed under the name Triticum aestivum (bread wheat). RNAcentral describes it as "long non-coding RNA (TAES_LNC001255)". The record is from RNAcentral. Lineage: Eukaryota; Viridiplantae; Streptophyta; Magnoliopsida; Poales; Poaceae.
CCUCAUGUCUCAAAGGCUCAUUUGAUCUAAGUUCAGCUUCAACCUUCCUUCUCUUGUCAACGAGCUCGCUGAUAUAGUGAUAUAAGCUCCAUUCUUGUCAUUAAUCUUUGCAAUGAUCAUGUUCAGGUGAUGGACUUCCUCCUCUAUUUCUUGGUAACUCCAUUCGUUCCUCGGCUAGAGCAUGACGAUCAGCCAUAAGCCUGCGGAAUUCAACCUCGUGCAACUUAAUUUCUUCCUCUAGAAGAGCCGGGUGAGCGGGAGGUAGACUUGGUACUUGGCAAACGGUUCGAGUUAGAUUUACCAAACUUUCCUCUUACCUAGUGUUUCCACUCAAAUGGAAAAAACAGCAGUAAAGGAGUGCACAUCCGUCCUUGGUACCAGGCAAUAACUUUAUCUUCUCUACUAGAUUUAGCAUGUUUCACAACCUCGAUUCAAUGCAAAUAAAGGAACAAUAACAACCUGCAAUGAACUUUCAAAUAGUACAUGAGGUUAUUAUUGCUGAAACAUAAUCAUAAUAACAUUUGCACUGACAUGGAAGUUAUAGGAGCAGAUGCUGAAUUUGUGGUCCCUGAGAUGCUAGCUCUAGGUAUAUGCAUUAUAUUGCAGUAAAAACAGAGAGGGAAAUAGUGGAUCUGCAGCCAACUCUUACAGGCGCUAUGCUGUAUAAAUUACCCAAAGAAGACCAAACUUAACUGAGAGUCAAAUAUUAGAUAUUGUUCACUUAAACACUCAAAAAGAAUGAUUAAUGUACUGGAAUAAUAGAGUGAUUUGGACACAUCUAGCAGAACAUAUCUCUACCUAAUAUUUGGGGAGUGACCUGGACUUUCAACCUGAUUUGGAAGCGGCCAUUGGUGGGGGAAGAAGAAGGGGCGGCUUGCUCACAUGGAUUAGAAUUUAGGAGCCAAAUAAUUUCAGAUUUGGUGAGGACAUCGUAGACGAAUGAGUUGUCGCGAAGCCUGCUGUCCUUGU